This 230-nucleotide ribosomal RNA is filed under the name uncultured bacterium. Its description in RNAcentral is "partial 16S ribosomal RNA". It matches the Rfam family "Bacterial small subunit ribosomal RNA", at positions 563 to 791 of the family's 1533-position model. The record is from RNAcentral.
AAGCGCGCGUAGGUGGUUUGUUAAGUUGGAUGUGAAAUCCCCGGGCUCAACCUGGGAACUGCAUUCAAAACUGACUGACUAGAGUAUGGGUAGAGGGUGGUGGAAUUUCCUGUGUAGCGGUGAAAUGCGUAGAUAUAGGAAGGAACACCAGUGGCGAAGGCGACCACCUGGACUAAUACUGACACUGAGGUGCGAAAGCGUGGGGAGCAAACAGGAUUAGAUACCCGAGU